This 1395-nucleotide unclassified non-coding RNA is filed under the name uncultured Neocallimastigales. Its description in RNAcentral is "partial contains small subunit ribosomal RNA, internal transcribed spacer 1, 5.8S ribosomal RNA, internal transcribed spacer 2, and large subunit ribosomal RNA". The stretch from base 621 to 1395 matches the Rfam family "Eukaryotic large subunit ribosomal RNA", at positions 1 to 628 of the family's 3401-position model. Lineage: Eukaryota; Fungi; Neocallimastigomycota; Neocallimastigomycetes; Neocallimastigales. The record is from RNAcentral.
UUUCCGUAGGUGAACCUGCGGAAGGAUCAUUAAUAAAUGGUCUACGUUUUUUAAGUAGACGCUUAAUAAUCCUACCCUUUGUGAAUUUGUUUGUUUGAAAUAAUUUUUUUUAAAAUUAUUGAUUGUCUUUCCCGUUGAAUAGAGUGUCUUCUAACAGUGAAUUCGCAGGGGAGAGUCAGUAAUUUUUAAAAAGACCUUUUUUAAAAUUAAACUUUUUGUAUUCAUUUGUCUAAAAUUAUUUUUAUAAUAUAAAAACAACUUUUGACAAUGGAUCUCUUGGUUCUCGCAACGAUGAAGAACGCAGCAAAAUGCGAUAAAUAGUGUGAAUUGCAGAAUACGUGAAUCAUCGAAUCUUCGAACGCAUAUUGCACUUUCUUAGUUUACUAAAAAAGUAUGUCUGUUUGAGUAUCAGUAAAAUAUUCUCAUAAAAAACAUUGUUUUUUAUGGUUAUGAGUGUUUUACAACGAUACAAGUUGUUUCACUUUAAAUUUUUUAAAAUUUGAAUUUUUCUAAUUUUAAAAUAAAAUUGGAUAAAAUUUUCCCGUAAAAAGGAAUAACCUAAACAAUUUUAGUUUUUUGAUUAGAAUUUUUCAUUAUAAAGGAAAAUUUAAUAAAUAACUUGAUCUCAAAUCAGAUAAGAGUACCCGCUGAACUUAAGCAUAUCAAUAAGCGGAGGAAAAGAAACUAACAAGGAUUCCCUUAGUAACGGCGAGUGAAGCGGGAAGAGCUCAAAUUUGAAAUCUUCAAGGUUUUACCUUGACGAAUUGUAGUUUAAAGAAGUGUUUUCUGUUGAAGUUUUGGUAAAAGUUCUUUGGAAUAGGACAUCAUAGAGGGUGAGAAUCCCGUAUUUGACCAUUAUUUUCAGCUGUGUGAUACACUUUCAAAGAGUCGGAUUGUUUGGGAAUGCAGUCCAAAAUGGGUGGUAAAUUUCAUCUAAAGCUAAAUAUUGGCGAGAGACCGAUAGCGAACAAGUACCGUGAGGGAAAGAUGAAAAGAACUUUGAAAAGAGAGUUAAACAGUACGUGAAAUUGUCAAAAGGGAAGCGUUUGACACCAGUGUUGUUUUCUCGAAAAUCAAUUAAAAAAGAGUUGGAUUUGUGUUGUAUUGACCUUACAGCUUGCUUCACUCUUUUCUGCUUUUUUUAAUGCACUUUUCGUUUAACUAGUCGACAUCAGUUUCUUUGUUGUAAAAGGGUCAUUGGAAGGUGGCUUUCUCUUCGGAGAAAGUGUUUAUAGCCUUUGAUCUCUGCAAUCGGAGAGACUGAGGUCUGCAGCGUAGAUCCUUCGGGGUUAGAUACAUUUGUGCUAAGCUACAGCUUUUCAUAGACAUCUUGUUGACUAUGUUUAGUCUUGUGACUUACCCGCUUAUGCUAUUUUACCUACGCUUAGGAUGUUG